GAAAGAAGCUUAGUGGCGAACGGGUGAGUAACACGUAGGCGACCUGCCCAAAAGAGGGGGAUAACACUUGGAAACAGGUGCUAAUACCGCAUAACCAUGAACACCGCAUGAUGUUCAUGUAAAAGACGGCUUUUGCUGUCACUUUUGGAUGGGCCUGCGGCGUAUUAACUUGUUGGUGGGGUAACGGCCUACCAAGGUGAUGAUACGUAGCCGAACUGAGAGGUUGAUCGGCCACAUUGGGACUGAGACACGGCCCAAACUCCUACGGGAGGCAGCAGUAGGGAAUCUUCCACAAUGGACGCAAGUCUGAUGGAGCAACGCCGCGUGAAUGAAGAAGGCCUUCGGGUCGUAAAAUUCUGUUGUCAGAGAAGAACGUGCGUGAGAGUAACUGUUCACGUAUUGACGGUAUCUGACCAGAAAGCCACGGCUAACUACGUGCCAGCAGCCGCGGUAAUACGUAGGUGGCGAGCGUUGUCCGGAUUUAUUGGGCGUAAAGGGAACGCAGGCGGUCUUUUAAGUCUGACGUGAAAGCCUUCGGCUUAACCGAAGUAGUGCAUUGGAAACUGGAAGACUUGAGUGCAGAAGAGGAGAGUGGAACUCCAUGUGUAGCGGUGAAAUGCGUAGAUAUAUGGAAGAACACCAGUGGCGAAAGCCGCUCUCUGGUCUGUAACUGACGCUGAGGUUCGAAAGCGUGGGUAGCAAACAGGAUUAGAUACCCUGGUAGUCCACGCCGUAAACGAUGAGUGCUAAGUGUUGGAGGGUUUCCGCCCUUCAGUGCUGCAGCUAACGCAUUAAGCACUCCGCCUGGGGAGUACGGUCGCAAGACUGCAACUCAAAUGAAUUGACGG
RNAcentral lists this ribosomal RNA (848 nucleotides) under uncultured bacterium. Its description in RNAcentral is "bacterial SSU rRNA". It matches the Rfam family "Bacterial small subunit ribosomal RNA", at positions 83 to 916 of the family's 1533-position model. The record is from RNAcentral.